RNAcentral lists this ribosomal RNA (484 nucleotides) under uncultured bacterium. RNAcentral describes it as "partial 16S ribosomal RNA". It matches the Rfam family "Bacterial small subunit ribosomal RNA", at positions 29 to 507 of the family's 1533-position model. The record is from RNAcentral.
AGUGAACGCUGGCGGCAGGCCUAACACAUGCAAGUCGAGCGGCAGCGCGGGGGCAACCCUGGCGGCGAGCGGCGGACGGGUGAGGAAUUCGUCGGAAUCUGCCUUUUUGUGGGGGAUAACGUAGGGAAACUUACGCUAAUACCGCAUACGUCCUACGGGAGAAAGUGGGGGACCGCAAGGCCUCACGCAGAAAGAUGAGCCGACGACCGAUUAGCUAGUUGGUGGGGUAAAGGUCCACCAAGGCGACGAUCGGUAGCUGGUCUGAGAGGAUGAUCAGCCACACUGGGACUGAGACACGGCCCAGACUCCUACGGGAGGCAGCAGUGGGGAAUAUUGGACAAUGGGCGCAAGCCUGAUCCAGCCAUGCCGCGUGUGUGAAGAAGGCCUUCGGGUUGUAAAGCACUUUUGUCCGGAAAGAAAUCCCUGGAGCUAAUACCUUCGGGGGAUGACGGUACCGGAAGAAUAAGCACCGGCUAACUUCGUG